GAUGAACGCUGGCGGCGUGCCUAAUACAUGCAAGUCGAGCGAACAGACGAGGAGCUUGCUCCUCUGACGUUAGCGGCGGACGGGUGAGUAACACGUGGAUAACCUACCUAUAAGACUGGGAUAACUUCGGGAAACCGGAGCUAAUACCGGAUAAUAUAUUGAACCGCAUGGUUCAAUAGUGAAAGACGGUUUUGCUGUCACUUAUAGAUGGAUCCGCGCCGCAUUAGCUAGUUGGUAAGGUAACGGCUUACCAAGGCAACGAUGCGUAGCCGACCUGAGAGGGUGAUCGGCCACACUGAAACUGAGACACGGUCCAGACUCCUACGGAAGGAGGCAGUAGGGAAUCUUCCGCAAUGGGCGAAAGCCUGACGGAGCAACGCCGCGUGAGUGAUGAAGGUCUUCGGAUCGUAAAACUCUGUUAUUAGGAAGAACAAAUGUGUAAGUAACUAUGCACGUCUUGACGGUACCUAAUCAGAAAGCCACGGCUAACUACGUG
This 496-nucleotide ribosomal RNA is filed under the name uncultured bacterium. RNAcentral's name for it is "partial 16S ribosomal RNA". It matches the Rfam family "Bacterial small subunit ribosomal RNA", at positions 28 to 507 of the family's 1533-position model. The record is from RNAcentral.